RNAcentral lists this ribosomal RNA (110 nucleotides) under Xylanibacter rarus. RNAcentral's name for it is "Prevotella sp. 109 partial 16S ribosomal RNA". Lineage: Bacteria; Pseudomonadati; Bacteroidota; Bacteroidia; Bacteroidales; Prevotellaceae. The record is from RNAcentral.
UUUUACAGUGGAGAGUUUGAUCCUGGCUCAGGAUGAACGCUAGCUACAGGCUUAACACAUGCAAGUCGCGGGGCAGCAUGAAGGAUGCUUGCAUUCUUUGAUGGCGACCG